GUAAACAUCGAAGGUCUCUCUUUCGUUCUUCAUCAUUUGGAGGCAGUACACUCGUCGUGUAACAACGAGCGCUCUCAAAGAAUCUCAAUUUCGUAUAUUUUUAAUACUUUCUCGAUAUAAUAAUGAUACUAAUAAUUUUCUUUGUAUUUUUUAUACUCAGAACUACAUUGCAAUCUAUACGUAGCAACGAAGUAAUCGUGUGUUUGUAUAAUAAAAAUUCAAAAAUCGCGAAAUAGAAGUACAAUGUUUGUUUGUUCGGUCGCAUUUCGCGAUUUAUCUUGCAUCGAAUACGUGUAAUGCAGUCUAGUUAGUUUCUUGUGUCAGUUUUGCGAAUAAACUUAAGUGACUAUCUGUUAAAAAAUAACUAUCGCUUAUUAGAGUCAGUGUAUCACCGAAUAGGAUUUCAAUCAACGUCGAUGUCGACUUACUUCAUUUUUAAUCACCUACGAAUCAUUCAUUCCUCAAUUUCAACCUAAAUCGUGGACGAGUGUUUUGGAGCCAUCGCAAAACUACUUAAGUAUUAAGUGAAUUUUUAAAUCCCUCGGAACACUCAAUCGUAACGAGGACGAAAGGUUAAUGAAAUAAAGAAUCGUGGACAGCAGAGGUGGUUCAUUGGCAUCGAAAAAUAUGAUUCGAGUUAACAACAGAAGUUAGUGGAGAGUAGGUGAUCGGUCUAGUUAGGUACAUAAUUCAAUCCUGAUUCAACGAAGGAAGGAAACGAAGAGAACGAACGUGACUGGCUGCUCGAAUGAAACCGCUUGUAAUUUCCGACGGACGUGUGUUCACGCGCGAGUGAAUGUCGUCGAUAGACAUUGAUUCAUUCUCGAGGAAAAGACACUAUACAUAUAUAAUGAAUACAAACAAUACACGUAUAAGUACGUGUCUCAAAGUAAACAAACAGCUACAUCGUAUGAUAACAAAAGGCCAGUCGUUCGUUGAAGGACUAGACGUACGGACGUGUUCAUUCUCGCUCGUCUUCUCGUACCAUUAUGCUGCGUACAUUCGUACAUUUAUAGAAUAGAAAAAUCUAGUGACGUAUAUGCGGAUUCCCUAAGCACGGUAUCAACAUCUUCGGAAUUGCCGGCGAGAACUACUUCGAUAACGUUAGCCCAUUCGAAUGAUCUAUCGGAACAUAUGUAACCGAGGGAGCUCGAUUUAAAUGACUCGAAGGACGGCUAAGUACUCUCCUCUUGUUCGAACGUUACUGGAACGUCGAGAAUCGUCGAGGGAUCGAAGUGUGAUGCGCUUCUCUCGUGCACUCCGAGGAACAGAGAGCAUUGGUAUGAGUGCUUUUUGGAUGAGGAUGAGAGAGAGAGAGAGAGAGAGAGAUAGAGGGAGAAUGAGAAAGACAACGUGAGCACUAAGAGAGAAAAAGAGAGAGAGAGAGAGAAUAUAUAUAACGUGUAUGUACGUGUCGGUUGUUAACGGUGAAAUAUCGACCAUUUUCGAAGCCACAGUCGAGCAGGAUUCUCUUGGGAUGCAAAGGGCUGCUAUGCUUAUGAUAUUAACGCGCUAACUGCCGCUCGUUUCCUGCGGUCAGCGAAACAUUAGCGUAUGUAGCCCGCGGGACAACGCGUUACGAUUUUGCGGGCUCGCGUGGUAAUCAACUCGAGAGUUCUCGUUUGCCUUAUUCUUCGAAUAUUGGUAUUAAGGUAACUGGAAAAGGACAAAUAAAGAAAGAGAAAAAAAAAAAAGAAAAAAAAAAAAGAAAAAAGAAAAAGGAACGAGAAUCUUAAUUCUCGUAUCGAUAUUAUUAUUCAUCGAAUUUAUUUCUUCGAUCGAGAACUCGGUACUCGUUUUAUUUUUACAUUUACUCAUUUAUAUUCAUUGAUUCUCGAUAUAAAAGUUGUGCCAUUAAAUUAAUUAAUAUUAAAGGGAGAACAUGCAAUUUCGUUAAUGAAAUUUUCAUCGACGAUAGUAUUAAUCAAUGAUUAAACGAUUGUAUCCUCGUCGGUCGAGAUAAAUACUAUAAACUUGAUUAGCGAUUCCGUGUGAUAUAUGAAAACGACACCAUCGGCCACAUAUUCGAGUAGGAGUUUGCUCGUUUUAGAAGCACGCGGAUACGCAUGGGAAUUCGAGUACCGUCCACUCUCCGCCAAGUUUCAUAUUUCCUCGAGUGUUCUGACAGAAAUACGAAGCCCGGAGGCGAAGUGGAUGCGUUCGCGCAGUUUCGUCGCGGCCGCGACAAACUCGAUUACAUUAAACGUUUGGUUAACAAGCAGAGCUUCGAGGGAAAAUGUUGCGAAAGGAUAACCAAUGAAAAAAGGAAAAAAGAAGAGAGAGAGAGAGAGAGAGAGAGAGAGAUAAAGAAAGAAAACUAAUUUAACAUUUUCUCCAUUUGAUAAUUUUUUUCAUUUCUUACUUUCAUUCUUUCUUUUGUUUUUUUUUUUAUUCCAAUCAUCAUCCUUGAAAGAACGAAAAUCACGGCAUAGGCAAAAUCGAAAUCGUGAAUUCGUUCACAGAAGAUAGAAAAUCCAUUAAUCGAGCCGCGACGACACGUGCUUCUCCAUAAAUUGCGAAGUACUGGAGGUACGCGUUCGGAGGGCAGUUUAAACACAGCGAAAGGGUAGGCACAUUGGGGGAGUAGUCGAGGUACUACCGCCUCCGCCAUCGCUACUGUUGCUGCUAGCCAUGCGUUGGGAUAGGUCGGCUUUAUUCCGGAAGCCAAGCUCGUACCUUCCGACUGGAAGUUAAUUCGUGCCUCGAUUUAACCGCCGGAAAAUCCAUCGACCGAUCGCCCCAUAAUACGGUAGCCGUUCGCAACAGGAUGGAAAUCAUCGAGAGAGAAAGAGAGAGAGAGAGAGAGAGAGAGAGAGAGAGAGAAGGUCGCUGCGUGUAAGCCUCACACAUCAACCCUUACCAUCAUCCCACCUUUCCGCUUCUCCUUCGUCCCACCGCGUCACCUUUCUCUCUUGCUGUUGUUAGUACUACCACUACUACUACUACUACUAUUACUACUACUACUACUGUUGCUGCUGCUGCUGCUGCUGCUGCUGCUGCUGCUGCUGCUGCUGCUGCUAUUGCUUUGCCAUACUGCUGCUUUUGGUACUGCUGUUGUUGCUGUUGCUGCUACUAGUCCGUCGAUUAAGCAUAAUAAUUAAUUAAUACUGCGAAUCCCGAAGGCCAACGUCGAGCUCGUCUCUCGCCACGGGCACCUCCUUCUCUCGGGCACUCCCUUCUCUCUCUCUCUCUCUCUCUCUCUCUCUCUCUCUCUCUCUCUCUCUCUCGCUCUCUCAUUCUGGAAACUACGGCAUUUCUCUGCCGUCGACGGUUUACGUGCCUCGCGUUAAUGCCAAUUUAGCGUCUUUCGCUGAAUCGCCGUUGGGAAAGCAUUUUAGAACGCAUUGUAAAUGGUAAUCACGCUUACGUACAACCCCAGUAUGCGUCGACCAUCUUUAAAUGCAUUUGGAAAAGCACAGAUAUCGGAUAGUUUUAUUUUUCCUUUUAUUUUCAUUCUUUCUUUUUCUUCCUUUCUUUCUUUCUUUCUUUGUUACUUAUAUAGGUAAGAUAUCGUUCAUAAGACGAGAAGAAAAUGUGCUUCCUUUUCUUUUUUUCUUUCAUAGAAACAUUCGAAUAGUUAAAACAAUUGUUCAGUUCGAGUUCUCUAACGAGUUGUUUAUCGCCUUUAACGAUUUAGCCGUGUCGUCGAAGUAAUUUUUAGGGCUAGUUUUGCAAUCGAGUAAAUCGCAGGUAAACUUUGUCUUAACUCGUCGACUGGGAAUAAGGGAGAAGGAAAAAAAAUUGGUCGCUAACAACUCUUAAUGAAAUAACUACGUCACGAGGGUGGAAAGUUUGAAAGUCACAAUCGUUUCUCUCUCUUUCUCUUUCUCUCUCUCUCUCUCUCUCUCUCUCCUUCUCUCCGUCUCUUUCUUUCGCGCGCGUUCUCUAAGGAGAAGAAGAAGAAGAAGAAGAAAAAGAAGAAGAAGAAGAAAAAAUGGAAAGAAGUGGAAAAAGAAAAGCUACGUUCAAGAAUCGGAAUGGUAGCGGAACUGCACGAGCGUUACUAGCAUUCUCGGAAAUAGCCGAUUUCUCGAAAGCCUCGCUUUUAUCCCUCGAUCUCCUUUAUGUCUUUCGAUGUAAUCUGUCGUUUCUUUUUCUUUUCUUUUUUUUUUUCCUUCCCUUUUUUUCCUCUUCCUCUUUUCUUUCUCUUCUUUUUUUUCUUGUUCCUAUUCAAAAUUAGAUUUUUCCCCUCGAACCAAAAGUCUCCCCGUUCCCUGCUAAAACGCGAUUUUCCCAUUUAAAAUUGCAUAUCCGAAGGAGGCACGAUAGAAAUAAGUAUAUAUAGAACAAAGAAAGUCGUUAAAAAAAGUUAAACGUUGGAAAAGAAAAAAAAAAAUUCCUUUGGAAAUUUCUACUUUCGGUGUAAGCUUUGCUAAUUUCGUAUUCAGACGAGAUUGGAAAUCGUCAUUUCCAUUAGUUUUGCCGAAAUUUAAAUCCAUCUAUCUCAUCGCCGAUUAUCGUCGAAAUCGGCUCGCCAAUUUAUCGAACGAUAAAUAAAGUGGACAUCGAAAGAGAGAGAAAAAAAAAAAGAAAAUGUAGAAAAAAACAGUAAAAUAAAAAAACAGUUAAAAAAACAGUAAAAAAAAAAAGGGAGAAAAAAUUUAUUCGCGCUAGGGCAUCGUAUAUUCCGACGUUCAAUCGGUAUCACAUACUCUUAUAACAUCCCGAUAACGUUAAACGCAAUUCAUGUUUAUAUAUAUAUAUAUAUAUGUAUAUAUAAAACAAUAUAUAUAUAUCAUAUAUUGCAAUGCAUGUACUCGACUGUAGUCCCACUAAAAUCGCUUGUAGAUCCGAUCUCUUCGACGAAUCCCAGUUUCGUGAAAAAUCGGCAUCGCAAUGACGGUCAUCCGUUAGAGCAUCGUUAAAAAUUGCCUGACUCGUUGCAUACAUAUGCAACGAGGAGUGGGCGACAGUUUUCAACGAUUCAUUCGACGUGAAUCACGUGGAAUCAAGCAUGGACGUCGUAUAAUCACUGGUAUUAUAUAUAGUCAAGUGUGCCAAUGAAAAUAGGGUUUUGCUUCGCAAUUUGAUUGAAAACUUUUGUGCGAUCAUGCCUAUCAGAAUGUUUAUGGGAUUUUUCUCGUUUCCUCUUUUUCUCCCUCUCCCCUUUUUUUAAUGUCUGUCUGUCUCUCUCUCUCUCUCUCUCUCUCUCUCUCUCUCUCUCUAUUCUCUUUAUAUCCUCCUCGAUGAGAAUACAUUCAUUCGCAUAUUUCCCCGGUCUCGUUAUUUCUCAUAAAGCUUUUCAUUUUAGGUACGUACCGUACGUACGUACGUUAAUACAAAAUAUUUCAAUGUUUAUUGUAUUCCAAUACUAUACAUCAAUGCAUGCAUAUCAAAAGCAACGAUUAAUUGAUAAAAUGAUGAGGAAGAUAAGGUUUAUCAUUUAGAAAGUUUUGAUUAUGAAAAUAAUUAAAAGAUUUGAAUUCAUUUUUCUUCGAACUUUCAUAUCUUUCAUAAACUUUGACAUCUUAAUGUUAAAAUUCAUUCUAUUUCAUAUGCUUAAUACAAAUAAAGUAGGAGAAAGUUCGUGAUAUAUUUUUAUUAUUUUUAAUGAUCAUAAGAGAAAGAGAGAAUGCGAAAGAAUGAGAGAGAGAGAGAGAGAGAUAGAAAGAGAAAUCGUAUGAGAAAAAUGCUUAGAAGUGCAAAAAUUGGUCGGUUGGAAAGAGAUCAGCGAACAAAGUAGAAAAUUGAAAAAAGAAAGAAAAGAAAAAGAAAAUGGUAGGUAGCUGCUGCUAUGGAAAAAAAAAAAAAAAAAAAAAGAAAGUUAUCGUACCAUCUCUCUCUCUCUCUCUCUCUCUCUUUCUCUAGCUCGCUCCCUCGUUAAAUGCACUCGACUGUUGUAUUAUUAAACAUAAACCAAAUUGUUUUAGCCGAGAGAGUUGGCUACGAUCGCAAAAGCGAAUUCCUCGGAGAAUUAAGCUAUCCUGUCUAUCUGUCUGUCUCUUUCUCUUGCAAUUUUGCAAUACUCGCGAAUGGUAACGAUCAUUUGCGUGAUAAUAACGAAUUACUCGGGGAAACGUUCACUUGGUUAGACUUUGCGAGAAACACCCUUCCAAGAGGAAGAUAUAUAUAUAUAGAUAGAUAGAUAGAUGAAUAGAAAGAGAGAAAGAGAAUUAUACAAAGUUAACUUUCUCCAAUUUUACAUUCAUCGUUUCGAGACUUCUCUUCUCGUUCCUCGAUUAUUUCGUAGUUAACGAUUGUGUCUCGAAUUUCUCGACAAUAGUAAAAUUAAAAACAAAAAACAAAAGAAAUGCAAAAAGAAAAAAUAUAAAGAAGUCACAGAGAGAAAGAGAGAGAGAGAAAUU
This is a long non-coding RNA of Vespa mandarinia (Asian giant hornet), 6305 nucleotides long. RefSeq lists it as uncharacterized. Lineage: Eukaryota; Metazoa; Arthropoda; Insecta; Hymenoptera; Vespidae. The record is from RefSeq and is a predicted model, not a curated record.